AAGAAAGAAAGGAAAGAACACAAACCCUAGGUGGGAAAAUUGAAGAAAAAGUGUGGGAUUUCAAGGGAUUACGCUAUUAAAGGUAAAAUUUUGUGAUUUUAUCUUGUGAUUUACACUACCCAUGCCUUCUUUAUCAUUUUCCAUGCUUAGAACUCAAGUUUGCAUGAUGAACCCAUGCUGGCUGAAUUUGAGAGGAGAGGUUUUGAGCAUUGAUUUUGCUAGAAUUCAAGCUAAUUAAGUGUUUUUGGUUGUUUGGUAAUGGAAAGUAUGAAAAUCUAGCAAGGAAUCACUUUGUUCUUCACAAACCCACAAGAGGCUGAAUUUUCUAGGGAGGAUAUUGAGGCUGAAAUUGAUGAUAUUUCAUGAUAUUUUGGUGGUAUUUAAUGAUUGGUGAGGCUAGAAAUUUAAUGGGAAAUUUUGGCAUGAAAAUCUGAAUUUUUACCUAAUGUAUAGACAUGUAUGAUUUAUGGCUCGGACUGAUAAAUUGAAUCAUAUUCACAGUCAUUGAGGUAUUUUAAGUAUAAUUUGAGUGUAGAAAGUGAAAGAAAUCGAUUUGGAGUUAAAUUGGAGGUUUUAGCCAAUUACACCGAGAAUAGUGCGAAUUAGGUUGAAUACCGUAUUUAAAUGGCUAUUCGAACAUUUUACAUCACAUUUCGUGCAUUCAUAUAGAUUUAUAGAGCCUGAAAUAGUUUAUGAUAAAUUGACACAAAUUAUUGAAAUUCGUGUCACGUAUAAUGUAUAGGUGGUGAAUCCUCCGCUAAGGGCAAAGAAAUUGUACCCGAGGAUCGGUAGUCAAAGUACUCUAGAAAUUCGACUCCCGAAAUAGUGAGUAACCUUAUCAUCAUUUUAAUUAUCUAAAGUGGUCUUUUUAUUCAAUUUUCUGAAAUUUAUGGAAAAUGAGUUUAAAUGGUUAAUUUUCAGGUUUUAUAAACAAAAUGUGUUUAAAUGAAAAGAUUUUAUAACUUGUAUUAAAAUUGAAUGAUGGCUUUGAAAAUAGAGUAACUGGAGACCACUUGAUGUGUUGUAAUUUAUGAUUCUAAUUGAUGGUUUAUGAUAAAGUGUUGGCAUGACUGGCUAGAAUUGUGGUUUGUGAACUGUAUGAAUUGUUCUGUUUUGCAUUUACAGGCUGGGUAGUAUAAUAUUAGUCAUGUCAUGCUGUCAAAAUUUUAUUGUAUGGUGGGUUUAGCUUGCUGUAGUGGGUGGGUUCUGUGGACCAGCCU
Molecule: long non-coding RNA, 1220 nt
Filed under: Theobroma cacao (cacao)
Lineage: Eukaryota; Viridiplantae; Streptophyta; Magnoliopsida; Malvales; Malvaceae
Description: long non-coding RNA (TCAC_LNC003043)
Source: RNAcentral